This 376-nucleotide ribosomal RNA is filed under the name uncultured bacterium. Its description in RNAcentral is "bacterial SSU rRNA". It matches the Rfam family "Bacterial small subunit ribosomal RNA", at positions 28 to 401 of the family's 1533-position model. The record is from RNAcentral.
GACGAACGCUGGCGGCGUGCCUAACACAUGCAAGUCAACGAGAAAGGGGUAGCAAUAUCCUGAGUAAAGUGGCGCAUGGGUGAGUAACACGUAGGUAAUCUGCCAUCAGGACGGGGACAACCACGCGAAAGCGUAGCUAAUACCCGAUGAAUCAGCGAUGCCGCAUGGCAUUGCUGUUAAAUACCGCAAGGUGCCCGAUGAUGAACCUGCGCCCAUUAGGUAGUUGGUGAGGUAACGGCUCACCAAGCCGACGAUGGGUAGCUGGUCUGAGAGGAUGAUCAGCCACACUGGAACUGAGACACGGUCCAGACUCCUACGGGAGCAGCAGUGAGGAAUAUUGCGCAAUGGACCGAAAGGCUGACGCAGCGACGCCGCG